AUAAAACUGCCACCGGGUAGUAAGAAUGUACCAAACAUUUUUAAUGUUUAAGCAUUCAUAUACGUAUCGUUAGGUCUUUGAAGAUGCGUAUGUGGAUGCUUUUUUAUU
RNAcentral lists this non-coding RNA (108 nucleotides) under unclassified sequences. The record is from RNAcentral.